Molecule: long non-coding RNA, 1723 nt
Organism: Oncorhynchus tshawytscha (Chinook salmon)
Lineage: Eukaryota; Metazoa; Chordata; Actinopteri; Salmoniformes; Salmonidae
Source: Ensembl
AACACCAUAGUACCCUCCAAGCUCGUCAUCAAGCUCGAGACCCUGGGUCUCGACCCCGCCCUGUGCAACUGGGUACUGGACUUCCUGACGGGCCGCCCCCAGGUGGUGAGGGUAGGCAACAACAUCUCCACCUCGCUGAUCCACAACACUGGGGCCCCACAAGGGUGCGUUCUGAGCCCUCUCCUGUACUCCCUGUUCACCCACGACUGCGUGGCCACGCACGCCUCCAACUCAAUCAUCAAGUUUGCGGACGACACAACAGUGGUAGGCUUGAUUACCAACAACGACGAGACGGUCUACAGGGAGGAGGUGAGGGCCCUCGGAGUGUGGUGUCAGGAAAAUAACCUCACACUCAACGUCAAUAAAACUAAGGAGAUGAUUGUGGACUUCAGGAAACAGCAGAGGGAACACCCCCCUAUCCACAUCGAUGGAACAGUAGUGGAGAGGACAACAACCACCCGAGCCACUGCCUGUUCACCCCGCUAUCAUCCAGAAGGCCUCACAAGACUCGCCUGAAGGUCCCCGGUACCAGAGGAAAAAAUCAAAGGAAGUAUAUAUGGAAAAUGUUUAAUGCCAAAAAUAAGUGAUUAAAUACAUGUAAAAAAACCAAACUAUUUGUUCAAUGUAGUGAAGCUGUUAUUCAAUGCAAUUGUAUGGGCUAAUAGCAGUAAGUCCAAAAAUAAUUUUUCAGCAAAUAUUUUUUAAUAAUAUUUUUUUAAUAUUUCAAGUGGUCUUAAAAUUCUAAAUAAAAUUGCUAAAUGAUCAUUGGUAUGACCUUCUUAAAACAAUUCCAUAUAGCUGAGACAGGGUUUAGACUGAGGGGUGACUGUUGUAACAGCAGUAAAUAGGUGUCACUUGUACUCAGCAUUCCACACGCACACAAGCAAACAUUGUACAAUAGCUAGCUCCAAAUCAGACCUUUCCCUUAGGUACAGAUCAAGGAUCAGCUUACCCUCCCCAUCUCCAAAACUUUAGUUUCUAGCAGGAAAUGCGUCCUUCUCCACCAUAAUAACCACCACACUUUUUAGCCAUACCACCCACCUCCAGGGCUCAUAAUGUACCAUUCCCCUGGGCAGAGAGAAGGGGGCCCUGCCCUUCCUGUAACACACCCUGGCCUGCAUGGCUCUCCUGCUCACUGCCCACUGCUAACUGUUCCAGGGAAAAGGCAUGUGGUUGGUUCCAAAUAUUAGGGUCUCCUCCUUUUUCUCUGGGUCCUUCCUAUCACACAGCACAAAUUAAAGUGAUUCACUGUGUGGAGUUGUGUGUGUUUGUACUUCCCUUCUACUGCAGUGAUUCCCAACCAGGGGUACUAGAACCUCUUGGGGUACUUGGUCUAUCCACAGGGAACUUGGGAAGACUCAUGAGCCCAUAGGCCUACUGGUAAAAUGCACACGAGGGGGUACUUUGGAAAGAGUAAAACAUUUUUGGUGGUAUAGUAACCAAAAAAGUUGGAAACCACUGCUCUACUGGGGACAUCUGUGGAGUGCAUUACUAUGUCUGACUCUGCUCUUAAAGUGGAGUUUAUGUCUAUGUCAUGGUAUAUUAUAAUGUGUUACCCUCUAGUGGUCAAUAUUCAAAGGAACCGUUUUUUUAUUGAUUAAGUAUAACACACAAAAUCACAGUCACUUUUCACAUAACUUAAUCAGUUUCAUCUAGAAAUACAUGUUUCACAUUGCGAUACAUAUUCAUAUAAAGUAUUUGCCUUUCACAAUGCAAUGCUCAC